GGGGGGGGGGGGGGGGGGGGGGGGGGGGGGGGGGGCGGGCGGGGGAGGGGGGCUGGCUCGUGGGGUCGGCGGGGGAGGGGGGAGUAAGGCCGAGGAAUCUGCGGGGUGGGGGGGGAUAACGGCCGGGAACGGGCGCUAAUACCGCAUACGCCCUGCGGGAGAAAGUGGGGGAGCUUCGGACCCCACGCUAUCAGAUGAGCCUAGGUCGGAUUAGCUAGUUGGGGGGGUAAAGGCAUACCAAGGCGACGAUCCGUAACUGGUCGGAGAGGAUGAUCAGUCACACUGGAACUGAGACACGGUCCAGACUCCUACGGGAGGCAGCAGUGGGGAAUAUUGGACAAUGGGCGAAAGCCUGAUCCAGCCAUGCCGCGUGUGUGAAGAAGGUCUUCGGAUUGUAAAGCACUUUAAGUUGGGAGGAAGGGCAGUAAGUUAAUACCUUGCUGUUUUGACGUGACCAACAGAAUAAGCACCGGCUAACUUCGUG
RNAcentral lists this ribosomal RNA (484 nucleotides) under uncultured bacterium. RNAcentral describes it as "partial 16S ribosomal RNA". It matches the Rfam family "Bacterial small subunit ribosomal RNA", at positions 39 to 507 of the family's 1533-position model. The record is from RNAcentral.